CCUACGGGUGGCAGCAGUAGGGAAUCUUUCACAAUGGGCGAAAGCCUGAUGGAGCAACGCCGCGUGCAGGAUGAAGGCUUUCGGGUUGUAAACUUCUUUUUUCAGGGACGAAGCAAGUGACGGUACCUGAGGAAUAAGCCACGGCUAACUACGGGCUAGCAGCCGCGGUAAUACGUAGGUGGCAAGCGUUAUCCGGAUUUACUGGGUGUAAAGGGCGUGUAGGCGGGAAAGCAAGUCAGAUGUGAAAACCGUGGGCUCAACCUGUGGCCUGCAUUUGAAACUGUUUUUCUUGAGUCCUGGAGAGGCAGACGGAAUUCCUGGUGUAGCGGUGAAAUGCGUAGAUAUUAGGAGGAACACCAGUGGCGAAGGCAGUCUGCUGGACAGCAACUGACGCUGAGGCGCGAAAGCGUGGGGAGCGAACAGGAUUAGAUACCCGGGUAGUC
This 443-nucleotide ribosomal RNA is filed under the name uncultured bacterium. RNAcentral's name for it is "partial 16S ribosomal RNA". It matches the Rfam family "Bacterial small subunit ribosomal RNA", at positions 338 to 795 of the family's 1533-position model. The record is from RNAcentral.